ACGGAAGGCAGCAGUGGGGAGUAUUGGGCAAUGGGCGAAAGCCUGACCCAGCAGCGCCGCGUGAAGGAAGAAGGUUUUCGGAUUGUAACUUCUUUUAUCAGGGACGAAGGAAGUGACGGUACCUGAUGAAUAAGCCACGGCUAACUACGUGCCAGCAGCCGCGGUAAUACGUAGGUGGCAAGCGUUAUCCGGAUUUACUGGGUGUAAAGGGCGCGUAGGCGGGGAUGCAAGUCAGAUGUGAAAUCCAUGGGCUUAACCCAUGAACUGCAUUUGAAACUGUAUCUCUUGAGUGUCGGAGAGGUAGACGGAAUUCCUAGUGUAGCGGUGAAAUGCGUAGAUAUUAGGAGGAACACCAGUGGCGAAGGCGGUCUACUGGACGAUAACUGACGCUGAGGCGCGAAAGCGUGGGGAGCAAACAGGAUUAGAUACCCUGGUA
This 436-nucleotide ribosomal RNA is filed under the name uncultured Oscillospiraceae bacterium. RNAcentral describes it as "partial 16S ribosomal RNA". It matches the Rfam family "Bacterial small subunit ribosomal RNA", at positions 341 to 792 of the family's 1533-position model. The record is from RNAcentral. Lineage: Bacteria; Bacillati; Bacillota; Clostridia; Eubacteriales; Oscillospiraceae.